AUGCACUACGCACUUUUAUUUGCUCUUGGUAACAUCUUUCUAGAUGGACAUUCAGGUCCAACAGAGAUGAGCAGCAUGGAUUUACAAAGUGCACAGGUAUUCUUUUUCAUACUCGUGCACUUGCACUGGAGCCACACAACAGAUAUAUGUGCACCAGGCGAAGACUGCAAAAAUAAAGAAGUGUUUGACAAAUCAGUGACAACGAUCCCUGAAAAUCUGAAAGAUGGAGCAGAUGAAAUAUUUUUUGUAAACAGUAAGAUUGAUAUCAUACCAAAAGGAGCUUUUUCUAAAAAUCCUCAAAUAAAGAAACUGGAAUUUCUCGGUACUUCGACUGAGUCUGUAGAGGUCGGAGCUUUUGAGGGUUUACCUGAUAUCGCCACCAUUGAGAUAUCUAGCACAAACGUGACAUCAUUACCUGUUGGUGUUUUUAAGGAUCUCGUCAACCUUCAAAGACUUGUUUUAAAAAGCAACAAAAUCAACAUCCUUGAAAAGGGGUUAUUUGACGAUCUAACCCAGCUCCAAGAAUUAUUUCUGCAUAUGAAUGAGAUCACCGCGAUCGAGGAGGGGACAUUUGACAAUUUAGAGAAUCUCAGACUUCUACAUCUUGCAAAAAACAACCUCAACUCCGUAUCAACAUCUCUCUUUUCCAAACUCAAGAGCUUACGCAUUUUCAGGCUUUAUGAGAAUCUGCUGACUGCAAUGCCUGAUGGGAUUUUUGAUAGUCUUUCUGAUCUGACAGAGAUAGCCUUGCAAGGCAACCAAAUCUCGUCCUUACAACCAAAUUUGUUUCCACACAAAAGCAAAAUAGUAAAACUCUUUUUGGACCAUAAUCUUUUGACAGAGUUGGAGCAAGAGCUAUUUGUAGGUUUCAUUUCAUUGAAAAGUUUAACUCUGCACAACAAUCAACUCACCAGCCUUCCCAAUGUUCUUUUUGGAGAAAUGCCCAAAUUGACUGAAUUGAGUUUAAACCAUAACAAUCUCACACACUUACCACCGGGAGUUUUCAGCCCACUUAAGAAGCUCAAAAAGUUAGACCUUUCUUCAAACCAUUUCUCGAUGAUAUCUGGAGACUUUUUUGAGGGUCUUGAGAAACUGGCUGAUCUGAAUCUUCAAAAUAACUAUAUAAAGUCAUUAAAACAAGAAGACUUUGACAAACUUCCGCUCCUUUCAAUACUCAGACUGGAACACAAUAAACUACAAAAUCUUCCUGCAGAUGUUUUUGACUCUCAUCCAAAACUCAGUAAACUCUACCUGAACAACAACCCAUGGCAGUGUGAUUGUAACCUGUUGCCAUUCUUUGAAUGGCUGAAGGACAAUGAAGACAAGGUUAAAUCAAAACCUCCACUCUGUGAGUCGCCAAAUCAUCUGCUAAAUCAACCAAUCCCCUCUUUUGAAGAAAAAGAUUUAAUAUGCCUCACCACUUUACCCCCUACCACACCUCUCCUUACAACCACCGUGCCCAUGACAACAACAAAGUUAACCACCACAACACCAGCAGCACCCACAACGGCAACACCGACAACAACUACUCAACCCACAACUGUGCCAACCACCACCGCUACAACUACAGCUUUAACAACAACAUCAGUGCCAACCACCGCAUCAACAACUACUCCACAACCAACAACUGCACCAAUAACAACAUCAGUGCCAACCACCGCAUCAACAACUACUCCACAACCAACAACUGCACCAAUAACAACAUCAGUGCCAACCACCGCAUCAACAACUACUCCUCAACCAACAACUACAACCCUUAAGACUACAUCAAUGCCAACCACGAUAUCAACAACUACGCUACAACCAACAACUACAACAUUGACAACCACAUCAGAGCCAACCACAAUAUCAGCAACUACAUUACAACCAACAACUACAACCCAGAAGACUACAUCCAUCCCAACAACUAUAUUUCAACCAACAAAUACAACCCUGAAGACUACAUCCAUGCCAACAACCAUUCCAACAACAACAACACUACAACCAACAACUACAAUUCCUACCACAUCAGCACUUCAAACAACAGUUGCAACAACUUCAGUUUCUACAACCAUGUUAAUCCCUACCACUAUUACAAGUCGCAUAACAACCUUACCACCCAGCACGACAACAAGGAGAACCACACCAUUUCUGACCACAGCGAACAGUUUCACAUGUGGCUCUCUUCAGACACCUCCAUCAAGCCACACUUCUGUCCACGAGUACUCAUCAUGCAAGGAACUGGCGAUAUUUUACACUACUUUGCUGCUGGUGGAAAUAUGCUGUACUCUGGUGCUGGCCAAAUACACUUAUUCAUUAUACUGCUCACUGGAGCAAAGGGAGAGACUGCACAACCAAGUCAAGCUGACUCACUUCUCUUAUACUAAGUCUAUUUCUCUUAGGCCAGUGGACGAGACAGAAACUAUAACACUAUGAUUUAUAUUUGCAUUUAUUUAUUUGUUUUCUUUUUGGCUUAGUCCCUUUAUUAAUCAGGGAUUGGCACAGUGGAAUGAACCACCAACUUAUACAGCAUAUGUUUUACGCAGCGGAUGCUCUUCCAGCUGCAACCCAUCAUGGUAAAGAUUUCUAUUUUUUCUAUUUUAUUUUAUUUUUUUAAUUUAAUUUUAAUUUAAUUUAAUUUAAUUUAAUUUAAUUUAAUUUAAUUUAAUUUUAUUUUAUUUUAUUUUAUUUUAUUUUAUUUUAUUUUAUUUUAUUUUAUUUUAUUUUAUUUUAUUUUACUUGAGGUCGUGGUACUGCCUGUGUAUGAGGCUGAGAAUAUAGCUCUGUAUUUAAUUUAAUUUAAUUUAAUUUAAUUUAAUUUAAUUUAAUUUAAUUUAAUUUAAUUUAAUUUAAUUUAAUUUAAUUUAAUUUUUAUUUUAUUUUAUUUUAUUUUAUUUUAUUUUAUUUUAUUUUAUUUUACUUGAGGUCGUGGUACUGCCCGUGUAUGUCGUGGUACUGCCCGUGUAUGAGGCUGAGACUAUAGCUCUGUAUUUAAUUUAUUUUAUUUUAUUUUAUUUUAUUUUAUUUUAUUUUAUUUUAUUUUAUUUUAUUUUAUUUUAUUUUAUUUUAUUUUAUUUUAUUUUAUUAUUUUAUUUUAUUUAGUUUUGUUUUGUUUUGUUUUGUUGUUUUUUUGUUUUGUUUUGUUUUACUUGAGGUGUUGAUACUGCCAGUGUAUGAGGCUGAGACUAUAGCUCUGUAUUUUAUUUUAUUUUAUUUUAUUUUAUUUUAUUUUAUUUUGUUUUGUUUUGUUUUGUUUUGUUUUGUUUUGUUUUGUUUUGUUUUGUUUGUUGUGUUUUGUUUUACUUGAGGUGUUGAUACUGCCAGUGUAUGAGGCUGAGACUAUAGCUCUGUAUUUUAUUUUAUUUUAUUAUAUAUAUAUAUAUAUAUAUAUAUAUAUAUAUAUAUAUAUUUUUUUUUUUUUUUUUUUUUUACUCAAAGUGUUGGUAUGAGUCUGAGACUACAGCUCUGUAUUUUAUUUUUUAUUUUUUUAUUUUUUACUAUACUAUACUGUAGCUCUUUGUUUUUUAGCUUAGUUUGUUAUUAUUCAAUUAUUGUAUUUACUUUGUCUUAUGGUUUGUUUGUUUUUGUUUAUUUAAAUUUUUCUGGGAGGUGGUUGUCAGUAUAAUGAUAUACUGGUCAGCACCUAUAACUAAUGCUUAAUCCUAAAUGCCUUCAUUUUGUGUGCAGUAGAUAGUUAAUACAACAUGUUAACUGCAUACAGGAUAAUCUGCAUUCAGCAAUUAAUUUUACAAUAAUGAUAUGAUUCCAAUCCACAGCAAUGCAUGUUUGAUACAGAAGAGUCAGUGAGGACUUUUCUAAUCUGCAAUGAUUUGUGUGUCUUUUUAUGUAAAUAAGUUUUUAAACUUAAAUAUGUUUUUCAUGUAGUGAUGCAUCUGUCUAGACGCUUAAAUUGUUUAACUAAUACAGAUUAUUUUUUCAUUGAUUUUUUUUAUCUUUUGGUAAAUAUAUCAGGAUGUAUUAAAUAAUAAUAUUUGUUUGUGAUUAUUCUUAUUAAAUAUUCAUUAUUCAUGUUUUAAAACAAAGUCCAAUGGGUUUUGAAUAAUGUGAGAUUGAGUAGGAAAACUUUAUCUGCAUUUUUAAAUGAACUAACCCUUUAAAUGUGUCAACUUUAAACUGUUAUUGUAAGUAUUUUACAGACAUAACAAAUACAUUUCAAACACUUUUCACAGCCCAAACUUAAAUUUGAAGCUGUUUUAUUUAAAAAUUGUAAAUCAGUGAUGUAACGUGUGAUCUGACAGUGUCAUAUAUUAAAAGGGUCUGCUUUGCUAGUUAAGUAACACCAUUGAGUUGCAGUUUGGAGCAUCUGUUGGAUACUAUUAAGCAAUUAUUUACAGUUCAUUAAUACAUGUCAGCAAUCUUGAUUUAUUAUUCUUAGACAUAGCCUUAGGGCUUAAGUCACAUAUUAAGGAGCUAUUGUUACCAGAUGCUUUUUAAAACUACAGAGGCUAAAUCAAGUGAUACAAAGACCCAGAUGUAUACUUAUUAACUGUAUAUAUGAUCGUAUAGUAUUUAGUAAAUUGCUGUUUAGCUGCAUUUAUGCAUGCUGUUUUACAUACAGUAUGUAUGCAUAUGGACCUGAACAUUGAUUAUUGAUCUAGAAUAGACUCCCUUUCAAAAUAAUAUCACUAUAAUAAUCACUUUUAAAAUUAGAAUUAAAGUAGGCAAUUGUCUAGGCCAUUUUCACAGGCAUUUGUUCAUGAAAUCGAAAUGCUCAAAAUAAAUCUGAACGCAAGUCUUUAAUACUGCAUGUCAACCACAAGGUGUCAGUGUUACCAAAAGAAAAAGACAUCAAGUUAAAACAAUCUGCACACAAUUCUUCAUAAACAAGUAUUUAUUUAUGUAUUUAUUUUUAUUUGUUUAAUAAAAAGUUAUCAGUCACCAUAAUUAGUUGCUAUAUCAUCGUCAUUAUCAUCCUCACGAUCCUCACAUCAAAUCAAAUCAUUCUCUUUAUGCAUGUUUUGAGUCCAAACAUUGUAAUUUAUAUAAAUUACAUUAGAGUUUUUGAUCAUACGGUAAAGUGUAUUAGUAUACUGCAUAUAUUAGUAUUUAGGCCUAGAAAUGUGUUAAUAAGACAUGAACUAUUGUUGUAUACUUUAGUUUUUACUAAAGGAAACUGGUGUAUUUUAGUAUAUCUAGUUGUUUUAAAAAGUACAGUACGCACAAGUAUGAUUUUAAUAUUAGGUCUACCAAAGCAAACUGCCACGAGAGGUUAAUUUAAGUCAAAACACAGCAAUUAUUAUUAUUAUUAUUAUUAUUAUUAUAAUUUUUUUUUUUUUUUAUCUCUCCUGAGUCCUGUCGAGGUAGUCUGAACGUUUAUGGUGGAGCAUUCUCUUACCGCAUUUCCAAAUGCACCACUAGAUGGCGAUGUUAUCAAAUGUCCAUAUGUAAACAGCAAAUUAAGUGGCCUUAUGUUGACCGUUUUUAAAUACUCACCUAUUAGAGUGCUCUGUCUGCUUUUUAUUCUUGAUAUACUUUUAUUGUUCUUUUAUCCAGUCAUUUAAAGCUUACUUAAGUUACACAACAAGGUUUGGUGAAGAUAGCCGUGCAAACGAAUGUGCCAUCGUCUUUUGUAAAGUAAACAAACAGCUCAAAUAGUUUCAACACCUGCACCGUUCAACUUUUGAAGUAGAAACGUGGAUGUGGGACGG
This is a non-coding RNA of Danio rerio (zebrafish), 5648 nucleotides long. The record is from Ensembl. Lineage: Eukaryota; Metazoa; Chordata; Actinopteri; Cypriniformes; Danionidae.